GAUCGCCGUCUUAAAAAUGCAAAAUCAUCAGUUGAAAUUUCACUCGUGUUGUUUUUUCAAAUUUUCGAAUUUUUGUAAAAUAUCGCGUGCGCCAGCAAUUUCUCUGCACAGCGACAACAAAUUUCCCAGCUGCUUUAACACGAGUGAAAUUUCAACUGAUGAUUUUGCAUUUUUAAGACGGCGAUC
Non-coding RNA from Paramuricea clavata, 186 nucleotides. The record is from the annotation of a GenBank genome assembly. Lineage: Eukaryota; Metazoa; Cnidaria; Anthozoa; Malacalcyonacea; Plexauridae.